CUACGGGAGGCAGCAGUGGGGAAUAUUGGACAAUGGGCGCAAGCCUGAUCCAGCAAUGCCGCGUGAGUGAAGACGGCCUUAGGGUUGUAAAACUCUUUCGCUAGGGAAGAUAAUGACUGUACCUAGUAAAGAAGUCCCGGCUAACUCCGUGCCAGCAGCCGCGGUAAUACGGAGGGGACUAGCGUUGUUCGGAAUUACUGGGCGUAAAGAGUUCGUAGGCGGACUGACAAGUUAGGGGUGAAAUCCCAGGGCUCAACCCUGGAACUGCCUUUAAAACUGUCAGUCUAGAGACCGGAAGAGGUUAGGGGAAUACCUAGUGUAGAGGUGAAAUUCGUAGAUAUUAGGUGGAACACCAGUGGCGAAGGCGCCUAACUGGUCCGGUACUGACGCUGAGGAACGAAAGCGUGGGGAGCAAACAGGAUUAGAUACCCGUGUAGUC
This 439-nucleotide ribosomal RNA is filed under the name uncultured bacterium. Its description in RNAcentral is "partial 16S ribosomal RNA". It matches the Rfam family "Bacterial small subunit ribosomal RNA", at positions 339 to 795 of the family's 1533-position model. The record is from RNAcentral.